CCUACGGGAGGCAGCAGUGAGGAAUAUUGGUCAAUGGACGAGAGUCUGAACCAGCCAAGUAGCGUGAAGGAUGACUGCCCUAUGGGUUGCAAACUUCUUUUAUAUGGGAAUAAAAUGUUCCACGUGUGGGAUUUUGUAUGUACCAUAUGAAUAAGGAUCGGCUAACUCCGUGCCAGCAGCCGCGGUAAUACGGAGGAUCCGAGCGUUACCCGGAUGUAUUGGGUUUAAAGGGAGCGUAGGUGGAUUGUUAAGUCAGUUGUGAAAGUUUGCGGCUCAACCGUAAAAUUGCAGUUGAAACUGGCAGUCUUGAGUACAGUAGAGGUGGGCGGAAUUCGUGGUGUAGCGGUGAAAUGCUUAGAUAUCACGAAGAACGCCGAUUGCGAAGGCAGCUCACUGGACUGCAACUGACACUGAGGCUCGAAAGUGUGGGUAUCAAACAGGAUUAGAUACCCCUGGUAGUC
Molecule: ribosomal RNA, 461 nt
Filed under: uncultured bacterium
Lineage: Bacteria
Description: partial 16S ribosomal RNA
Rfam family: Bacterial small subunit ribosomal RNA
Source: RNAcentral